Dipodomys ordii (Ord's kangaroo rat) is the source of this 712-nucleotide long non-coding RNA. RefSeq lists it as uncharacterized. The transcript has 6 exons. NCBI's taxonomy places the organism in Eukaryota, Metazoa, Chordata, Mammalia, Rodentia, Heteromyidae. The record is from RefSeq and is a predicted model, not a curated record.
AUGUUAUCGGCAGCUUGCUUUGCUUUCUCUCCUUGCGGUGACAUCACCCACCUCGGCUCUCUUUCUCGGCACCGUAGCCUGCAGCCUGGCACAUCUCGGAAGGGACAGCCUUGGGGGCUUUCAUCACCAGCCACCUGGACAGGCCCAUGGUUUUGGAUCCUGAGUUGUCCUGUUAGGAGUCUGGGUACUAUGGAGCUGUCAUGUUGAAGAGCUUUGUAUGAAGAGACUGCACAGAGACAGAGGCCCAAGGAAACCCAGCUGUUCUAACCCUGCCGUGCCUACGUCCUCUAUGCUCAGCCACAGACCUGUGCGUGAAGAUGUCUCUAAUGUGACCCAGCUUCAUUCAUAGUCUUACUCCAACCUCAAGAGACCUCCCCCCGCAACCCAGGAUUUCCCAGCUGACCACAGAAACCAUGAAUGGCCUUUUCUUUUCCAGGACUUCUCUGAGGCCUGGUGCUCCUGAGUUGUGGCAAUGAAUUGUUGAUUAACCAACCAACCUCAAGAAAAUGGGCUCUGUAUCAAGUCUAUAUUGCCAAAAAGGAGGAGAAGACCCUGAGGGUUGGGAGCACAGAUGGUUCCUUCAGGGACUCCUUUCCUGGGGCAGAGGCUAAAGGAGGUCCAUGAUCAUCUUGUCCAUGGGACCGCGUGACCAAGGCCAGAUGCAUGUCCCAAAGGGUGAUAUCACAUCCACAGAGGAAUAGAGCAGAUUUCU